RNAcentral lists this long non-coding RNA (4064 nucleotides) under Homo sapiens (human). RNAcentral's name for it is "PREDICTED lncRNA (TCONS_00176806)". The stretch from base 9 to 170 matches the Rfam family "TTC28 antisense RNA 1 conserved region 1". The record is from RNAcentral. Lineage: Eukaryota; Metazoa; Chordata; Mammalia; Primates; Hominidae.
GUGCCCCACCCCGGGCACACGAGGCCUCCACUGCGGUUGCGCAGCCUGCCGAAGAGCGUGCGGCUUCUACUGCGGCUGCGCAAGCUCGACGCGCGCACUCUUGUCUGCUUACGAGGGCUCCUCCCUUCAGCUUUGGUCCCUCGGGGCGUCUGGGCAGCCUACGCUUUCCGACUGGAAUCAGCCAUUUUACCAAGAAAGUUGGGUUUCUUUUACUGGCAAAUAGUACUUCAAGAGCACAGUCUUAUGUAAGCAUGACCCAUCUGCCUGGCACCAGCACCUGGGGCUGCCAGGCAGCCACCCCUGCAGCUGUGUUGACAGGACCUGGCAGAGGGACUGACCCACCUUUGGAAAAUGACACCAGCAAUAUCAGGAUGUGUCAACUGGAUUUAUGCUAAGAAAAUAGGAUUUUUGGUGUUCCUCUGUUUCCCAAAGUUUGAGACACUUUCAGACACUCUGCUUUGCGGUUGUGGCCGAUGUUACCCAUGGGUGGGACUUUUGCUUUGCUCUAGAUUUUUGUAACACCCUGGGGAGUUUCAGGGGCCAAUGCUGAGAGAAGACCACAGGCUGACACAUCAUGAGGGCGGCGCUGGCUUUCAGGCCGUUCAGCAGGGAUGAGUAGAAGGCAUGGAUGAACAUCUUAGAAGCAGCCACUGGCACAGGCCACAGAGACACGAGGACACACUGAGCGCCGGCAGCCAGGAAGGCCCUUGUCAGCGCGAUGACCCCGUCGGCUGUGACUUUGCUGUUGGACUCCUGGGAGGAGCCAAGCACCACCAGCUUCACAGGCAGCUGCAGGUCCAGGACGUCGGCGGCAGUGCCUAACUUACUGAGAAUCAUGCCUGCUGUGAUGAGCCCUUGGAAACCAUCAGGACUGGAUGGUAGGGGUCCUGAGAGGAUUGGGGGAGGAGGCCUUGAUAUGACAGAGUGGACAGAGGCCGUGGAACCCAGGACAGCCAGCCUGCUCCACAAUCCUCAUCCCCACAGACCUUCAUGUGUGGCUCCUAAAUAAGAGGAAACCCACUCCUGAUAAGUCAGGGGCUUUGAAAAGUGAUUUUGUUUAAAUGGUGCAAACAAGCAAGCCAAUCUUGGGGAGACAGGGCUAAACUUAAGUCCUUUAAGAAGCUCUACAUACUGACAAGAUUCUAGUUCCCUUCCACCUUAUAUGCUGCAAAGUAAAAAGUAUCACUGAAUGAGAAAAUCAGCAUAAAGAAGCCCAAUAAUGUCUGCCUGAGUUUCCCCUAUGAUGACUUUUGGUACUUUUUGGGAAACAUUAAGUAUGAAGUUAUUUCAAAAUAAUUUUUUGGUGCCUCUGCUUGGUGAUGCCUUAAACUCUGGGUAAGAGAAACACCAGGUGCCUGUCAGGAGAUGGCCUUUUCCAGGUUUCUGGUUAAGCUACAAACAGCUAACUGGCUGCUGUCAUCAAAAUAAAAGCUUUCUGAAGGUGGAGGCAUCUGAUACCCAGAGUGCUGCUAUCAGCCGGCACGGUGGGCCGCUGGGUGGCAGGAGCGUCGAGAAGGCCAGCUCGCUUCCUAUCUGGGAUUCAGAAUCAGCUAUGGAAACUUGAGAGACCUAGAGAAAAUAACUUCUUUCACUUUGAACUGAUUCUUUGCUUCAUAAGAAAAGUAUUAUCCAGCCACAAAAAUGGUCAAAAUUCAGAUCUACAAAAGCCUGUCAGGCAGAAACUGACCCCACUUAGGCCACGCCAAUGAGCAAGUCAUCAAAGCAGCCAAGACAGGUCCUGUGGGGGCCACCCAUGCACAGGGCCCAGCCUCGGGUCCUAACCCCGCCUAUGCUUUCCGCCACCAUAAAGAGGCCCAUCUGGGUAAGACCUGUCCCGCCUGCUGUGGGGUAUUAGGGCAGAUGGGGUCUGAGGGGUCUGAGGGCUCUGAGAGCAGCUGGCAGCUCAAGGACAUCCGGAGUUGGAGGAUGGAGCAAUGCAGGCCCUUGUGGUAAAGACAGUCCUGCAGCCGCGCAGGCAGGGAUGCUGCAAGUGGAGUGCCAGGCGGGUGCGGAGCCCUGUGGGACUGUGGAGGGGUCAGAGGGAAGCCAGGAUUUUGGGGUCUCUGAGAGUUUGGAGAAGGGGAAGAAGAUUAAAGCUUGUUUCAAAAGUUUCUAAUCAGGUGGGCAGGGCCAAGGGUGGCUGUGGGGUGAGACCCAUGACUCAGGGUGGCCCACUGUUACUCUAUUGAUUUUUGGGCGUUUUUUUCCAAAUUGAUUAUUCUUGCUGAAUGAGACCUGAGUCCUUGACUGUCCCCUUAAAGCCACCUGACUUGUUUUCAGUUCCACUGGCCUGUCGGGCUGUUUUCUACUCAACUCCACUCUUGCUUGUCUGCCCUCCCUGCCUGGGGCCCAGCCAGCAGUCAGCUCAAGGGCCAGAUGAAUUGGGUGGCUGUGCUCUGCCCACUGGGCAUCGUGUGGAUGGUGGGUGACCAGCCCCCUCAGGUGCUCAGCCAGGCCUCAAGCCUUGCUGUGUACCUCAGAGCAGCUCCGUACCCUGAUGUCACAGCAAAGAAACUUAGACAUGACACAAACUGUGGCUUCCCAAGGCAGCAAAGAAUGGCCAGGGGUCAUGAGGGCCGUGCCCCACUUUUGGACAGACCUACUCUAAAGUCACGCUACCUGCGUGCAAAUCAUAAAAUCAACACUUUUGAGGAGAUCACAGCUAUGCCUUCGUAACACAGCCCAGUCCGACCAGAUAGACGGUGCCUCGUGACCCGAAAACAAGCCCCCGGCCCCCCACCAUGUGUGUGAGCCUUACCUUGGACUGCACGCUGAGGGAGCGGAUGGAAGGGACAGCAAGGAGGCCGAAGCGCUCGUAGAGGUACUCAUUGGAGGAGCUUCCCUUCAGGAGGGCGAAAGGAAUGAGGUAGAGCUCCCCCUCCAGAACCAGGAUGAGCUGCCGGUGCCGGCCCACGGGGCCGCUGGAGUGCAUCAGGCCCUAUGGAGCAAGCACGGAGAGGCUGACAUGGGUGGCCCAGCAGGCAGGGGUUUCAGGCACCAGGACAACCCUGAGCCCUAGCCUGGAUGACACAAGCACGAGCAGGUGAGGCCUGUGGGGGUGUGGGGCGCCAUGGGGCAUGGGCCGAGUUGCAGCCCUGCAGGAGCGGCACCAACUGGCAUGCUCGCUUGUGGACUGGCAAGGGCUGGCCUGGCAGCAUCCAUCUGCCUCACAGUCCUGAGAAGGUUAGAGGACAGUUUCUUGAAGUUCACAAGAACCUGAAGUGGGUUGGAGACCGGUCUGUACCGCACAGGCACCCUGAGAAGGGGUGGGAAUGGCCCCUCUCAAAACAAGAUCUGUUUUCCAUUUCAAUGGACAAGAGGCUAGAAAAUCACAGUGAGGACGGGAGGUCUGGGGGCUGGCAUGACAGCCCCUGUAGAAGGGGAUGGGCUGGGUUCUAGGAUCUUCCGUGACCUCCUCUGAGAAAGAGUGGCCCCUUGGCUCUGGGCUUGGGAGGUGCCGUCCCCACUUGUUCCCUCUGGGGAUGUCAGGGGACCCAAUGCAUGGAUGACUCCCAUCCCUCUUGAAAGGCCGAGCAUGAGGACUCGAGGCAGGGUGUGCACAGGGCCACAGCGGACACAGCCUCAUUCCUGUUCAUUGCAGAACAAGGCUAAGGGCGCGGGCAUCUUAAUGAGAGCAGCAGGCAACAAUCCUGGAAGCUGGGUCCACACAGACUGCGGUGAACAAAGAGGUGGCGUGGAAGCUGCUGCUGCAGCCCAGAGCCUGCCAAGAAGGUCCCAGGUCCACAGGGCCUGCGCAACACUGGGUGCCAGGGGUGGGGCUGGCCUGCCCCCCAACCCCAUCUGCUGAGGAGUGGCUGACAAGCGGACACCCACCAGGGUGCCACUCGCUUGUGCCUGGGGAAGCAAAUGUGCUCGCUUGACCCGUCUGAUGUGCUGCCGUGGGCACUUGACUGAGAGUGGCAGAGCACUAGGCUAACCCAAAGUGACACAUGCCUGGCGGGAUGUUCAGUCUCUGUAAACCCAUAUGGUUUUUUUUUUUCUUUCCUUUAAAAAAAAUUUCUAGCUCCAUCUAGCGAAAGCAGAAAUAAAAAGUAUUAGGCCAA